Molecule: long non-coding RNA, 330 nt
Filed under: Dermacentor andersoni
Lineage: Eukaryota; Metazoa; Arthropoda; Arachnida; Ixodida; Ixodidae
Description: uncharacterized LOC126527437
Source: RNAcentral
AGCUAGCGGCACGCCAGACGCGCCACAUGCAUGCGUCAUUCGCCAGACAUGCCACCGAAGCGAGCGAGGCCGGCUGCGCAUGUGAAGCUCGCCUGCUCGGCGACCCGUCUUUUUUGGAUGUAGCCCGUUCGUUGGACUCACUGCGUUUUCUUGCGUUCCGUCUGCAUUUCUACACGGCACUGCUGCGCUACCGGGCUACAGCAAGCUGAUGGCAUCCGAUGGAGCUUCGUAUGGCAACGACUGCUGCUUACCUGGUGCCACAACUUUGGAUGAAUGCACAAGAAGCCCGGAACGAGCAUUUAUAUAGAGCAAAAUAAACAUGUCGGAAGA